UAUCCAAGGUCCCUUUAAGAUAGAAGAUCGAGUAAUGUAGAGCGAUUUGACAUUCAAGAAGAAAUAGAAGAAAGAGGACAUUUGACAUCUUAAGGGGACAAUUGACAGCUUGCAAAACGAUCUCAAAAAAAAAAUAAUAUUUUCGAUUGAUGAUGAUCCGCGCCGGACGCGACAACCGCGACAUGAUGCAGUGCGUGCAGUGUUCGCUGAACACGGUGAAGGCGAUCCGGAGUGAGCUGAGAAAAAAAAACAGCGACGACGACGAAGCGGUGGCAGCACGAAAACCACAUUCUCAGCGGCGGAAUUGCGUGCGGACCGACGCUUUCCAGGUUGACCUCCAGGCGCGAAUCCGUGAUGGAAAAUCCGGGGAUCGGAAUUCGGCCGUUGGCACGUGAGAUGGGGUGGCACCAUCCACUAUAAAAAUGGCCCUGAAUGACGACCUCCGGUACUUCUCUUACAAGCGCCGAAGAGGUCAGUUGUUAACAGAGAAGGGCCCCGAGCGUCGGUUGGGGAACGCCAAAAAGCUGCUCAACUUGCUAAAGCAUCCCGUGGAGCCUGGCACGGCUUCACCGCGCCGAAUGUGUGGCCUCCCAGCUCCCUGGAUCUUAAUCCAACGGAUUAUUUCGUGUGGGGCGCGGUGGAAAGGGACAUCAACAGAACCUCUAGCAACACCAAGGCGGAGCUGAUGGCGAAAAUCAGGUCCGUUUUCGCGGCCCUACCCCGCGAAACUGUCGCCAGGGCAUGUUCCCGGUUCCAGAGACGGGUGGAGGCUGUAAUAGAGGCCGAGCGCGGAUAUUUUGAAUAAAAUGAAUAAAAUACAUGGUGACUGACAAAAUUACCCCGAACGCCCAGUAGGCGAACCUGCACCUGCUUAAUAGGGCUGUCAAAAUAAAACUUAGAUGGGUUAAAAUUAACAUUUGACCAGUCCAAAUAGGGGAGAGUAGGGCAAAAUGGACCUGUUAAAGAUUGUAGUCUGUAUCUUAUUGGUUAAACCACUUUACACUGUUAUUUUGACGGCAAUCUAUACUUCAACGUCUUUUUCAUGAAAAACAAUCAGAAGUUUCCACAUGAAUAACAAAAAUAAAUAUGUUUAAAAUGAAUUUAAAAAAUGAACCUCAAAAAUCAAGAGAAUGUUUUGUGCGGGAUAAAAUCCCCGGUAUCAAAAUCCAUAGAUUUUGGUCUCAUUGGGCUCUAUCUAGGCGCCCAUUAAAAGAAUUGCUUACCCAACUGGCAUUGUCACGUUGCAAACGGUAUUUCUUGGUAUUGUGUUACAUUUUGGGUUUAUACAGUUAAUAUUUCGAAUAUGAAUUGAAAUGAGAAUUCACAAAUGAUGUAGAAUGAACUAAACUACAGCGUAUAUAUUAAACUAUUUGACUAAUUUGGACUGCAUGACUGCAUGAACUGCUCGAAAUACACGAAUAAACUUUGUAAAGAAAUUGUGUAAUGAACUAUUGGAAAAAUUAAUACACAGUUGCAAACAGAUUGGCGAUUA
Molecule: long non-coding RNA, 1492 nt
Organism: Anopheles arabiensis
Lineage: Eukaryota; Metazoa; Arthropoda; Insecta; Diptera; Culicidae
Exons: 3
Source: RefSeq, a predicted model, not a curated record